This 53-nucleotide small nucleolar RNA is filed under the name Homo sapiens (human). RNAcentral describes it as "U24 SnoRNA". It matches the Rfam family "Small nucleolar RNA SNORD24", at positions 1 to 54 of the family's 76-position model. Rfam says of the family: U24 is a member of the C/D class of snoRNA which contain the C (UGAUGA) and D (CUGA) box motifs. C/D box snoRNAs have been shown to act as methylation guides for a number of RNA targets. The record is from RNAcentral. Lineage: Eukaryota; Metazoa; Chordata; Mammalia; Primates; Hominidae.
UGCAGAUGAUGUAAAAGAAUAUUUGCUAUCUGAGAGAUGGUGAUGACAUUUUA